Molecule: non-coding RNA, 72 nt
Organism: Capsicum annuum
Lineage: Eukaryota; Viridiplantae; Streptophyta; Magnoliopsida; Solanales; Solanaceae
Source: Rfam
GGUUCUAUGGUGUAGUGGUUAGCACUCUUGACUUUGAAUCCAGCGACCUGAGUACGACUACCGGUAGGACCU